AGCAGCCGCGGUAAUUCCAGCUCCAAUAGCGUAUAUUAAAGUUGUUGCAGUUAAAAAGCUCGUAGUUGAAUUUCGGGAUCAAUUUGCUGGUCGGAACCUCUGGUACGUACUGGUAUUAUUGAUUUCUUUCAUUCUGAUAGAUCAUGGAUGUCAUUAAUUUGAUGACUUUGAGGAAUCGGAACUUUUACUUUGAAAAAAUUAGAGUGUUUAAAGCAGGCUUAUCAGGCUUGAAUACAUUAGCAUGGAAUAAUGAAAUAGGACGAUUGAUCCUAUUUUUGUUGGUUUCUAGGAUUGACGUAAUGAUUAAUAGGGAUAGUUGGGGGCAUUAGUAUUCAAUUGUCAGAGGUGAAAUUCUUGGAUUUAUUGAAGACUAACUACUGCGAAAGCAUUUGCCAAGGAUGUUUUCAUUAAUCAAGAACGAAAGUUAGGGGAUCGAAGACGAUCAGAUACCGUCGUAGUCUUAACCAUAAACUAUGCCGACUAGGGAUCGGAUGAUGUUAAUUUUUUUAAUGUA
This 514-nucleotide unclassified non-coding RNA is filed under the name uncultured Glomus. Its description in RNAcentral is "bacterial SSU rRNA". It matches the Rfam family "Eukaryotic small subunit ribosomal RNA", at positions 569 to 1078 of the family's 1831-position model. The record is from RNAcentral. Lineage: Eukaryota; Fungi; Glomeromycota; Glomeromycetes; Glomerales; Glomeraceae.